GAGGUCUUGGCUUAAUUAAAGUGUUUGAGUUGCAGUCAGAAGAUGUAUUAAUUUAAUACAGGCCUUC
This 67-nucleotide transfer RNA is filed under the name Cyrtodactylus malayanus. Its description in RNAcentral is "tRNA-Ala". RNAcentral also lists the same sequence under 1 other name. The record is from RNAcentral. Lineage: Eukaryota; Metazoa; Chordata; Lepidosauria; Squamata; Gekkonidae.